This 207-nucleotide ribosomal RNA is filed under the name uncultured bacterium. RNAcentral's name for it is "partial 16S ribosomal RNA". It matches the Rfam family "Bacterial small subunit ribosomal RNA", at positions 568 to 774 of the family's 1533-position model. The record is from RNAcentral.
UGCGUAGGUGGUGAGGUAAGUCCGAUGUGAAAGCUCCGAGCUCAACUCGGAAAUGGCAUUGGAAACUACCUGGCUAGAGGAUUGGAGGGGGGACUGGAAUUCUGGGUGUAGCAGUGAAAUGCGUAGAUAUCCAGAGGAACACCAGUGGCGAAGGCGAGUCCCUGGACAAUUCCUGACACUGAGGCACGAAAGCUAGGGGAGCAAACA